UGCCAGCCGCCGCGGUAAUACGGAGGAUUCAAGCGUUAUCCGGAAUUAUUGGGUUUAAAGGGUGCGUAGGCGGUUUGAUAAGUCAGCGGUGAAAAGCCAGUGCUUAACAUUGGUCUUGCCGUUGAUACUGUUGGACUAGAGAAUAGUUGCGGUAGGCGGAAUGUAUGGUGUAGCGGUGAAAUGCUUAGAGAUCAUACAGAACACCGAUUGCGAAGGCAGCUUACCAAGCUAUAUCUGACGCUGAGGCACGAAAGCGUGGGGAGCAAACAGGAUUAGAUA
RNAcentral lists this ribosomal RNA (279 nucleotides) under uncultured bacterium. Its description in RNAcentral is "partial 16S ribosomal RNA". It matches the Rfam family "Bacterial small subunit ribosomal RNA", at positions 506 to 784 of the family's 1533-position model. The record is from RNAcentral.